This is a long non-coding RNA of Apis cerana (Asiatic honeybee), 6279 nucleotides long. RefSeq lists it as uncharacterized. The record is from RefSeq and is a predicted model, not a curated record. NCBI's taxonomy places the organism in Eukaryota, Metazoa, Arthropoda, Insecta, Hymenoptera, Apidae.
GCGAAAUGCCGAAGCUUAUUUAUUGGCAGUCGCAUUCCUGCGUACAGAACGCCAUGCCGUGGCUUCCACGCGAACCCGACCGAAUACUUUUCUGUGAUUCCAACCAUCCCAAAGCCCACGGACCGCGUUACAUUCCUGCUUCGAUCUUCCAGCGAUCUCACCAGAUCUUCUUCCUCGACGAGGCAACAGCACCCACUGGGUGUAUAUUCACGCGCCGCGGGAGCUCGCAUAAAACUGCUCCCGAGUUUGUGGCGCCACCUCUUGCAAAUUAAAGAGAAAUUCUAACACAUAUGGAUAUUCAUAGCGCCAUUCAACACGCAACGAACACGUAACGUAUCACGAGCUGCUCUUUCUUUUCUUAUUCUUUUUUCCGAUUUUCUGUAAUUGUUUCGCGUUUGAUUGUAAUGUGUAUGUUUACUUGGCACUGGCAGUAUGUGUUUGCACUGCCGUUUAAUUAACUAAACGUAGCAUAGACCGAUAAAUGGCACGUAUCAGCUAUAAAACCACCGCCUUCGACACUGCUGAUAACACUCUAUGUUGUUGGUUUCUUACCCACUGUUAUGUCAGCAGUUGUGUUCAAAAAGUACCUUCACGCCUACGUUUCUCUACGUACAUAUAUACCAAGGAUAGGCAUAGACAAUAAAUAUGUGUAUUCAUGCGUGCUUGCGCAUUAUGUGAGAAUUAAUUUCAUUAGAAACAUCCCUUAUUGAAAGAGUGUUUUUCUACUUGAUAUUUUUCUUAUUGCAAUAAUUCAAAAACUUAUUGAUCAUAAUUUAUAUUUUGUAUUAUUAUAAAUAUCAAUUAUUAUGUAUUUCUAUUUUUUUCAUAAAUUAUUUAUUUCAAUAACAUUUAAAAAUAAUUUUUUAGUACAAGAAAAUUCUGGUCAAUUCUGAUCUGAUUUUAAUUGUCAUCUAAAAAUAAAAUAAAUGUAAUCUCAUCACAAUUUAUCUUGUUGCCAUUAAUUAUUACUAUUAAUAUUUUAAUUUUACUAUUAAUAUGUAUUUUUCAAGAAUUCUACAAUUAAUGUAUUUCUUGUUAUUGGUAGAAAUUAUCGAUAUAAAUUAAUGUAUUUUUUUGUAAUUGUAUUGUAUAAAAAAUGAUCAUUAAAAUUAACCUAAUACAAAUUUAUGUAAUUACUGCUUUCAAGUUGAUAAUACAUUUUCAAUUGCAACAAGUUAUUAUUUACAUAUCUUUUUUUCGAACUUCGCUUUAAUUUUAUUAUUAGAUCAUUAUAAAUUCAAUAAUCAUCAUAAAAUGAAUAAUUAUUAUCAAUAUAAAUUUAAAAUAUUCUUUUUUGUAAUAUCACUACUUGAUUAUGUAACGGUAAAUUUUUAUUAUUCAUAAGAUCGGCGUAGUAUAUUGAUUUUAUACUUGAUUAUAUUUCAUAUAAUUGCAUGAUCAUUAUCACGUCUAAGAAUAAUUAUUGGUAUAAUAUAUUCUAUUUCCUUUUUUAAUUAAGGAAAUAAAUAAAAAAUGUUAACCAUUUUCUUUUAUCAAUUAUUAAUAAUUUCUUUCAAUUUAUAAUAGUCCUGCAAUAGUUUUUAUAUCAUAUAAUAAUUAUAUGAUUAAUAAUUUAAUUUAUUUUAAUAAUUUUAUUCUUUUUAUUUCUUUCACAAAGUUAGCUUUUUUAAUUUAAUCAAUAAUUUACCACAUUUUAAUAAUUAGAUUGUAGGUACUAACGCUGAAAUAUCUAUAUAUAUAUUUAUAAUAAAUAAUGUGUAAAAAUAUAGAGACUAACAUUAAGUCAAUUUUAUAUGAUGCAAUUUCUAUCACAUCUGGCUAAAAGCGGCAAUCUUCACGCUCGUAACACCUACGGCCAUUAAUAAUUCUUGCCCGGUACCUUUACCACGUGGGUUUUCCCUGUACAACUGCAAACGACCAUUUCUAGAGGCACGUUAAGAUCGCGGCUUCUGUGUGCGUAAUGCAGUGGAUGCGUCUUGGUCGUUGGUUGUCCGACUCUUGACUCGAUUUCGCGACCGCAAGUCGAGAGAUAUAUCUCUCCCGAUUUCCUUCCCUCUCGUUCUUUCUCUAGUCUCUUUUCGUUUCUUUUUGUUACUCAUCCAUUCCAGCAUCUCGCUUCCCUAUGCUCACAGCGACUCAUUCCCUCUUUGUUCUCGUUUCUCUCAUCCCUUCCGUGGUUGUGCUGAUUCUCCCUUCUCCUCCCAUCCCGCCAAUGGGACAGGGAGAUAGCAGACCCCGUCGAGGAGACAACAUAAAGAUUUAAGACUCCAAGAUGCGCCAAUAAACAUGCUGCGGCCGUGCAGUCAGCCUGCGCUUCUCUACUGCGUUCGCUUCUGUUCCAUUUCAUUCGGUUCCGCUCUGCUCUGUUCCGUUCCGUUCUGUUCUCUGUUCUGUUGUGUUCUGUUUCACAGCCACCACACAGGAAAUAUGCAUGUGUGUAUAUGUGCAUAUAUAAGUGUAUGUAUACAUAUAAGCGCCACUCUAUCCGCUAUACACAUGGGGAUGCAGGUUUCCUCUCGUAUGCACGUGGUGCCACGGCUGCGUAACGUGCUUUCGAAAAGUGUCUCGAUGCGUAUGCAGAUAUGCGGCUUAGCAUGAAUAGUAUCUAGAUCCGGCCAUGGAUAACCUGCUACGAUACCAGCAAAUUCGAGCACUAAGACUGGAUUUCUAGAAAUACACCGGAAAAAACUUUUUUUCGUCUAUUAGAUAAAAAAUACUUGUAGAAAAUACUUACAAGAUUCAUGCAUAAUUGUCAUUUCAUCUUUUAUUUUUCCUAACCUAACUUAAUAUAUAUGCAUAUAUGUUCGCAAGCAUGCGCAGAAUCACUAUUCAGUGUGCAACUCCUCUUUCUCCGACACUCUUUCAUUUACCGCCCUAAUACAUUCAUUAACGUUACAAAGAUCGUUAAAUGGAUCUCCCGUCCCGUUCCUCCCACGACAAAAUCACUUGUCCUUUAAAAUCCAUUCGAAACAUCCUCGAAGUGAUCUACGACUUCUACUCGAACGCGUCGCUGUCGAGGAGGAAGAGACCUUCCGGAUAACGAGACAGAAGUACACCUGCCGCGUUCGUAGAGGAGGCAGGACACGCUGAAAAGUUUUCAAUGCGAGGACGGUCGUACACCGCAAAAGUAGUAGAUCGGGACGUAGUUGGUCGUCCAAGCGGCAAGAAGGAAUCAACAGUGGAACCGUUGCUGGCUGCUUCUGGCCGUUGCUACUGCUCCAGCUCCUACUUUUGCCUGUCCUCUCGCUCUCCUCGGCCCGGCUUAUUUAUUCCUCUCUCUGUCACUGCCUCCCUUUCUUUUGCGACUUCUUCUUUAUUUCUGUCCUUUUGCCCGUUUUCUGCUUCCGCAAACGACAGCCGCUUAUUUAUACCCCGUCUUUGCAUCGCGCGGGAGCGAGCGAGGGCGCUUUUGCGUUUACUCACUACUGCCGUUCCCUCUGCCGCUUCUGUGUUGCUCCGCCGGUACUUCGCUUCUUUACCCUUUCGCUCGCUCCUUUUGUCGUUCGUUUCUUUUUCUCUUCCUCUUUCUCUUAACUGUGGCCAAGCGUGUGCUAGCGAAACAUCAACGGCGAGGCACUUUGCUCACGAACACCGAGAGAUGCGCUCGAUGCGAGAGGCAAUACCGCGACUGCAUCACCUGUCAACGCGAGAUCGCGUUCCAACAAGUCUAUAUUACAUGCAGCAUGUAGCUAGUCGGUAAUCGUUGAGCCCGCCAUCAUCGGCUAAUUUGUCGAACGAGAAAUUUAUGAUAAUCUUUUUCAUCAAUAUAGAAGCAUUACUUACAAUAUAAAAAAGAUUAUAUUUUUUAUUGCCAGAAAAUUUGCAUAAUAUUAUAUUAAUUUCAUUUGAUUUAACAUUUAAUAGAUAUAGUGAUAUGUAAAAUUGAUAUAUUUAUUCUUUAACUUGUGACAUACACUUUUUGAUAUAAAAUUAAAUUAUUGAAAUUGAUUUGGAUUUCUUUGUUUGUUUCUUUCUGUUGUUCAAAUAUAUCUAAUUUAAAUGAAAUAAGAGUAACAAUUCUAUAUGAAAUAACAAUAUAACAAUUAUAUAUGAAAGAUAUAUAACACUCGUAGAAAAGUAAAUUAAUCAGUUUAUUGAAAUUGGUAAAAUUAGUAUCAAUGAUUAUCAGAAAGUUAAAUUAAAAUUGAAAUUAGAUAUGGUAUUUUACAUAAAUUGCACAAUUAUGUAACGAUGAAAUGUUGCAUUAGCCUUUGUACGAUUGUGAUCUUGUGAUAUGUUGAUCCUUUGGAUCACAAAAUAGAUAUAAUUUAGUUUGAUGUGUUUUUAUUUGAAGAGAAAAAAAAGAAUCAUAUCUCAAGAAAUCCGUACGUUGGAAAUUCCAAAAGAAAAACUUGAAAUAGAUAACAAUUGAAGACUGAUAACACAAAAAUAACUGAUAAGGGAAUUAAUUUUUAAUUUACUAUCAAGAAGACUAUUUCUAUAUUUAAAUCGGAACACGUGAAUGUAUUAUUAUAUUAUUGUUGUUAUCAAUGCUGCCAAGAAACAUCAAUCAGUUUGAAGUGUAAUAAUUUCCGGAUUAAUUUCGAUAAGCAUACAUCGAUGAUGUAAGGAUCUUAUAUACGGGAAGAAAAAGAGCGAAUAGGUUAAGUCUGAUCACGAAAUAACUAAACGAUUGAGGCGCGGUACGAACUAUGGUUCGUGCACGCCCUUGCUAAAGCUCCGAAGACCCGAACAAAUAAAUGUUGAAAAGAGGAACAAAAACGACAUUAUGUGGCAUUAACAUACAAAGUAUGUCAGACCCGCGGUCCGCAGGCAUAACAUAGUAUCGCGGCGUUCGCAUACUCCGCCCGCUUUACAGUGACCAGAAGGAACGGGAAAGCAUUGAAAAGAGACCGAUCCCGAAAGCGACGAACAGAGAAAAGAGAAGGGUAGAAGGAAGAAUAGCAAGAGAGAGAGAGAAAAAGAAUGAGUGUCGAAUGUGUUCGAGUAGAGGCAAUAGGCUGUGUGCGGAAUAAAGAAGGCAGAAUGAUGAACGCAGAAAGGUGUGUGUGCUGUGAAAAAGGAGAAAGGAGGAAAAGGAAAAGAGAGUGAGAGAAAGAACUGAGGGAGCAGAGAGAAACGUUUACGCUAUCCUCGGUCCUCCGAAGUCCCAUCCCGUCCCAUCCCAUCGUUUCGUUGUCCCCGUGUGUGCCACGCGGUGCGGCUCAACGCAAAAGGGUCCACAGAGCGGGAGCAGAGUAACAGAACGCGCAGGAAAGGGAAAGAUCCAAAGCAGCAGCAAGCUGGUGGCAAAACGAAAAAUCGGCCCGCAUAUAUCGAGCUGGCCUGCGACGACGACGACCGCGGCGGCGGCGGCGGCGGCGGCAGUGGCGGUGGCGGCUACGACGACGAAGGUGGGACACACAUAUAAAACGAAGGAUUUCUUGUGUCCUCACUGCCUAGUGGACUCCCGAUCGGCUACUGCUAGCAAUGGUUCUGAACGUGAUUAAAAAAAGAUUUAAAAUAAAGACAAUUCUUAUUUAUCUAUUUUUGUAUUUUUAUUGAUUAUAUUUAUUAUACUUUUUUGUUAAUUAUUUUAAAAUUUUUUGUUAAUUAAUUUUAAUAAUAGUGUUUCUGUAAUAUAAAUAUUUUUCAAUUGAAAUAUUCAUUUAUUAUAUGAAACAAAUAAAAUAUUAUUGAAAGUUUGUAUUUUAAUUUUAAAAAAUAUUUGAUUUUGAAUUUUAUAUAAUUUGAUAAUUAAGAUUUUUUUUAUAUAUACGAUUAAAAUAAAUAUAAAAAUUAAAUAUAAUCAAUAUUUAUAAUUUAUGUAUUUGAUACAUAUUAAUGAUUAACGAACGAAGAAUAUUUGAAAAUUUAUUUUUUAUUUUUUAAAUUAAAUAUCGUAUAUUAUUUUUUUUUAAACAUAUGAAAGUUAAUAUUUUUAUUCAAAAAACAUUUUACUUUCAAAUGUUACGCAUGUCUAACGCUAUUUAUAAUCUUCAAGCCGUUUUUUGCUUUUAUUUUUAGCUAUUGGAAAACUUAUGUCUAAAAUUCUAUAUAUAUAUUUAUACGUUAUAAUAAAAUUUUAAACAAUUAAAAAUGUUAGAAAAUUAUUAAAAAUUUAUUAAAAUAAAUUAAAUAGAGGAAUAUUAUAAAAUACAUUAAUUAUGCUAAACUAUAUAUUUAUUUCUAUAAAUAUGAAUAGAUAAAUCUGAUAUAAUACAUAAGCAUGGUUUAUUAACGCUUACAAAAAUUUGUGGAUUAGAUUAACAAUCUUGAUAUAUAUUGUAAAUAUAAGAUCUCUUUACAUGUACAAUAAUGAGUGGAACACAAAUGUGUGUAUAUAAUAAACUAAGAUUUAAUAUAAUAUCAUUGUAA